Molecule: small RNA, 587 nt
Filed under: Drosophila erecta
Lineage: Eukaryota; Metazoa; Arthropoda; Insecta; Diptera; Drosophilidae
Description: GG26963
Source: RNAcentral
AAAAUUUGAACAAAAAAAAUUGAAAGAAAAAAACUAUAAACCGUAGUUGGGAAUUGCCUUCGUCUGGAAGUUGGCAAACGUUGCAGGCAGCCAGCGACGCCCACUUUUGGCACUGAAUUUUGUGGCAGCAACACAGGAGCAGGGCAGCCACAAACUUAUUAAUUUAACAAUUACAAAAUAAAUUGUGAGUGCGCCAAUUAAUUUGCGGUCGGUGAAGAUACACACAAAAGAGGGUAAGGACGGGCACAAUUCGGUAGGAAGAUGAAAAAGUCGUCAGCAUCAUUAGGUGACAUUUGUGUUACUUUCCAUUGACGUUAAUUGUUGACCCUUGGAAUAAUUUUACCAUUCCGAUCCCAGAGAAACUAUCUGGCAAACAACAACAAAACCAUUAACAUGAAAUUACAAGGAAUAAAUAAAGUAGAUUCCUGUUUUGGGCUUUCUUGGGCUCGGAAGCCAGCCCAAAUUUAUAGGCAACAUAAAAUGGGAGCAGACAAUGCCAAUAACAAUAAACGAAAAUAAAGUUUAUGACCGUGCUAAACACAACGGCGAGCCGGAAAAUGCCCAACAGAACUAUAGAUGAACAGAUA